This 782-nucleotide long non-coding RNA is filed under the name Mustela putorius furo (domestic ferret). Its description in RNAcentral is "lncRNA (ENSMPUG00000027062.1)". The record is from RNAcentral. Lineage: Eukaryota; Metazoa; Chordata; Mammalia; Carnivora; Mustelidae.
GCCUGCGGUGUGGUGGGGGGUGAGGAAGAUGGAGGACCCGUCUUCCUGCUCUACUUUCUCUUCGUGCUCGUCUCCUCCAUGUCUUCACAACGGUGAUGGAAGGGGGACUGGGAACCCCCUCGGACACAGAGGCCUCACAGUUGUACAGACUUUGGCAGAAAUAUUACAAACUUCACGAGGAGUUCAGUUGGAAGGGAAGCUUCCUCCAAAUGGACAAGCCCAGGAAGAUCACCUCUGUCACCCCAGUGGCCAAGCCCCAGAGGCAGAGCUGCCUCGCCAACUGUAGACAUACAAGGGGCCCACCAGAAACCAGCAGGGCCCUGCCUAAAUGCUCAUCUCCCAGUGAGCCAAAGAAGUACGUGUUGCAGACCACCGAAUCUUCAGGGCCUGUUAUGCAGCCACAGAUCACUGACACAGCAGGUUCCAGGCAGAUACUGAUGACGGUCAUUAUACGUGGUGAGAAUUAACGAGAUAAUGCAUGUAACGCAUUAGUAUGUGGCACAUGAGAAAUCCUCAAUAAAUGUUAGCUGUUACUCUCCGCCCCCUUACCGUCCUAUUUCACAGAUGAGAAAACUGACGUUCGAAACCAUUUAGGAAGUUUGCCGAUGAACACGUGAGCCUGUUUUCCAACACGGGUCUGGUUCCCAAGCUGUGCACUUUUCCCUCUAAGAAAAUGUUUCUGUUUCCUCUGUCCUCAUGUUGUCGGGAUACGUAAUGCUGCACUAAUUUACCAGAACUGAAAUAGUGAUGCAUGGCAAAUGGUUCUCACUCUUCCCCUUUUC